GAUGAACGCUGGCGGCGUGCCUAAUACAUGCAAGUCGAGCGAACGGACGAGAAGCUUGCUUCUCUGAUGUUAGCGGCGGACGGGUGAGUAACACGUGGAUAACCUACCUAUAAGACUGGGAUAACUUCGGGAAACCGGAGCUAAUACCGGAUGAUAUUUUGAACCGCAUGGUUCAAAAGUGAAAGACGGUCUUGCUGUCACUUAUAGAUGGAUCCGCGCUGCAUGAGUAGCUGGGCAAGGUAACGGCUUACCAAGGCAACGAGGGAUAGCCGACCUGAGAGGGUGAUCGGCCACACUGGAACUGAGACACGGUCCAGACUCCUACGGGAGGCAGCAGUAGGGAAUCUUCCGCAAUGGGCGAAAGCCUGACGGAGCAACGCCGCGUGAGUGAUGAAGGUCUUCGGAUCGUAAAACUCUGUUAUUAGGGAAGAACAUAUGUGUAAGUAACUGGGCACAUCUUGACGGUACCGAAUCAGAAAGCCACGGCUAACUACGUG
This 497-nucleotide ribosomal RNA is filed under the name uncultured bacterium. RNAcentral's name for it is "partial 16S ribosomal RNA". It matches the Rfam family "Bacterial small subunit ribosomal RNA", at positions 28 to 507 of the family's 1533-position model. The record is from RNAcentral.